CCUGUUCCCAUACCGAACACAGAAGUUAAGCUUUCUCACGCCGAAAGUACUUGUCGGGUCACUGACCGGGAGGAUAGGUAAUUGCCACUU
This 90-nucleotide ribosomal RNA is filed under the name Bacillota bacterium. The record is from RNAcentral. Lineage: Bacteria; Bacillati; Bacillota.